RNAcentral lists this unclassified non-coding RNA (715 nucleotides) under Hevea brasiliensis (rubber tree). Lineage: Eukaryota; Viridiplantae; Streptophyta; Magnoliopsida; Malpighiales; Euphorbiaceae. The record is from RNAcentral.
UGUACAUCGACUUCCUACAAGCAAGGAGCGGCAGAAAAGAAUGCUGCCCAUUCAUGGCUUCUUGAGGAUAUUGACUUUAUGUUCUGAGAAAUUUUAAGGAUAUAUUAGUCAGACCAGUAAACUCAUUUGAGAGAACAUAAACCAAUGUUAUCUAUUGUACACUUAUCUCAACCUAUACCCCACACAAUGAACACAUCACCGCGAUGUGUCUCAUUCAGACAGAUACCACGCCUUCAGGAAGCGAGUCAUUGUCCUUCUGUGGUGAUACAAAUCUACGGCAAGCAUAGAGUACAGCAGAGUGGAAUGCGGAUGUGUUCUCCAUAAAUACAAAGUGACCAGCCUGAGGGACCCUAAUUAUUUCACAUGGAACCUUCAUAUUCUUCCUUGCCUGUUGCGCUCCUCGGUAAUCCAUCCAAUCUUCAUGUCCAUAUAUGAAAGCUGUUGGCACCUUCCAAUCUGGUGCUCUGUAUAAAAGAGGACUCUUGGCAAAUGCUCCAAAGGAAAAUAUAUAUUUUAAGCAUAGCUCUCCACUAGGUUUUGCAGCCAAAGUGUGAUAUACAUAAUCUGAGAGUAGUCUGGACGACUCCUCAGUCAAAUCAUCUCCAUUAGAAUAUGCAGUAAAUCUAGCAUUUGUGUAUUUGCGAACAAGGUCUGGACCCCAUGGGCCUAAGCCUCUGAUAACUUUCAUCGGGGUAAAAUUAGACUCCCACAAAUG